Molecule: ribosomal RNA, 468 nt
Filed under: uncultured bacterium
Lineage: Bacteria
Description: partial 16S ribosomal RNA
Rfam family: Bacterial small subunit ribosomal RNA
Source: RNAcentral
GACGAACGCUGGCGGCGUGCUUAACACAUGCAAGUCGAACGGAAAGGCUCCAGCUUGCUGGAGUACUCGAGUGGCGAACGGGUGAGUAACACGUGGGUGAUCUGCCCUGCACUUCGGGAUAAGCCUGGGAAACUGGGUCUAAUACCGGAUAGGACCGCACUUUGGUGUGUGUGGUGGAAAGGUUUUUCUGGUGUGGGAUGAGCUCGCGGCCUAUCAGUUUGUUGGUGGGGUAAUGGCCUACCAAGACGGCGACGGGUAGCCGGCCUGAGAGGGUGGACGGUCACAUUGGGACUGAGAUACGGCCCAGACUCCUACGGGAGGCAGCAGUGGGGAAUAUUGAACAAUGGGGGAAACCCUGAUGCAGCGACGCCGCGUGGGGGAUGAAGGCCUUCGGGUUGUAAAAUCCUUUCGCUAGGGACGAAGCUUUUUGUGACGGUACCUGGAGAAGAAGCACCGGCUAACUACGUG